UGUACUGUUGUUGUUUGGGUUUUGUUUUCCUUUUGGUUAUAGGUAGGCGAGGCGGGGCUUGAUGGCAUUCCAACACACCUGCGACGCAUCGGACGUCAUCAGUGAGCGCUUUUAGGGAGCAGAGUCACGGACGUCUGGUGUCGGAGUAUUAUCGCUGUCACAAGUGCCUGUUCCAUCGCCUGCCCGCCUACCUAGGAUUUUGUGUUGGCUAUUCUGGAUCCGCGACGGAGUGCUACGUACCAUCAGGCGGCGAUCACCGCAGCGGCUGUGGUUUGGGUGGUCAAGUAGCUCCGGUGCGUCUGCUACCUACCUGUAUGCUUCGGCUCCAUCUCAUUGCCUCGGUGUUUUCCUGCUGGCACAUUUUUAUUUAUCACUGUAUAUAGCCCCUUUCCCUUGUAAAUAUUCCCCCUUACUUGUGUAUAUAUAAAACUUGCAUCACC
This is a long non-coding RNA of Astatotilapia calliptera (eastern happy), 440 nucleotides long. NCBI's taxonomy places the organism in Eukaryota, Metazoa, Chordata, Actinopteri, Cichliformes, Cichlidae. The record is from Ensembl.